This 446-nucleotide ribosomal RNA is filed under the name uncultured bacterium. RNAcentral's name for it is "partial 16S ribosomal RNA". It matches the Rfam family "Bacterial small subunit ribosomal RNA", at positions 338 to 795 of the family's 1533-position model. The record is from RNAcentral.
CCUACGGGUGGCAGCAGUCGAGAAUCAUUCACAAUGGGGGAAACCCUGAUGGUGCGACGCCGCGUGGGGGAAUGAAGGUCUUCGGAUUGUAAACCCCUGUCAUGUGGGAGCAAAUUAAAAAGAUAGUACCACAAGAGGAAGAGACGGCUAACUCUGUGCCAGCAGCCGCGGUAAUACAGAGGUCUCAAGCGUUGUUCGGAAGCACUGGGCGUAAGGCGUGCGUAGGCUGUUUCGUAAGUCGUGUGUGAAAGGCGCGGGCUCAACCCGCGGACGGCACAUGAUACUGCGAGACUAGAGUAAUGGAGGGGGAACCGGAAUUCUCGGUGUAGCAGUGAAAUGCGUAGAUAUCGAGAGGAACACUCGUGGCGAAGGCGGGUUCCUGGACAUUAACUGACGCUGAGGCACGAAGGCCAGGGGAGCGAAAGGGAUUAGAUACCCCUGUAGUC